CAGUAGCCGCGGGAAUACGUAGGUGGCAAGCGUUGUCCGGGAUUAUUGGGCGUAAAGGGCUCGCAGGCGGUUUCUUAAGUCUGAUGUGAAAGCCCCCGGCUCAACCGGGGAGGGUCAUUGGAAACUGGGAAACUUGAGUGCAGAAGAGGAGAGUGGAAUUCCACGUGUAGCGGUGAAAUGCGUAGAGAUGUGGAGGAACACCAGUGGCGAAGGCGACUCUCUGGUCUGUAACUGACGCUGAGGCUCGAAAGCGUGGGGAGCAAACAGGAUUAGAUACCCCCGUAGUCCCUGUCUCUUAUAA
This 301-nucleotide ribosomal RNA is filed under the name uncultured bacterium. Its description in RNAcentral is "partial 16S ribosomal RNA". It matches the Rfam family "Bacterial small subunit ribosomal RNA", at positions 509 to 809 of the family's 1533-position model. The record is from RNAcentral.